UUUCCGUAGGUGAACCUGCGGAAGGAUCAUUAAAGAACGCCCCGUUUUUUGAAAUGGGUAAUUCUAAACCGUGUAUACAUACCUUUGUUGCUUUGGCAGACCGCCCCUCAGGGCGUCGGCUCCGGCUGACUGCGCCUGCCAGAGGACCCAAACUCUUUUGUUUAGUGAUGUCUGAGUACUAUAUAAUAGUUAAAACUUUCAACAACGGAUCUCUUGGUUCUG
Molecule: unclassified non-coding RNA, 222 nt
Filed under: plant metagenome
Description: partial contains small subunit ribosomal RNA, internal transcribed spacer 1, and 5.8S ribosomal RNA
Source: RNAcentral